Molecule: long non-coding RNA, 2455 nt
Filed under: Helianthus annuus (common sunflower)
Lineage: Eukaryota; Viridiplantae; Streptophyta; Magnoliopsida; Asterales; Asteraceae
Description: hypothetical non coding rna
Source: RNAcentral
UUCUUUCUACCUUCUCUCAUAGAUACAUAGCCCAAUUUUUAAGUUAUUCACCCCUAAAUUCUACAAAGCCCUGCCCCAUUUUAAGUGUUUUAACCCUUGAUCACUGAUACCCUGUCCGACUGACGUAGGGCCCCGUAACGUAUGUCAAGGCUCUGCCUAAAUUCGUUGGGGUUCUGUCUCGUGACGUAGGGAUAAAGUGAAAUUGAGUUACUAUACUUAGUGUGAGUGCUCUAUAUAUUUUAUUAAAUAACCCAGGAGUGAUACCCAAAAUAUAACAACCCUCCCGAAUAUUUUCUGACACCCUACACUUCCUAAAAUACACCCCGUAUGUGAAAACCAAGCCCGAAAUACAAUAUAUAAUUAAAAACAAGAAAUAGUAAGUUGAGGCGGGCCGCGUAGACCCACCCCAACCAUUCACGCGGGCCGUAUGAGGGUGUAACCGGAUUCUUUUGGUUUCUUAAGUUCAAGCAGGCCGCGUAAGGAUCCCUUAACAUUAACGCGGGCCGCGAGAGGUUGGAAAAGUGGCGCAGCCUUGGGCCGCCACGUGGCAAACACCCGUCAAGCCUACACAUCAACUCAGCAUAGCUAUACGUUGACUUUGGGUCAACGCGGGCCGCGUAAGACUUGUCCUCAUUUGAUGCGGGCCGCGAGAGAGUCCAGUAUCAGCCCUAUAAAUUGAAUCGUCGAGCCUUCAGUCUGCUUCGUUCAAAAUCAAUUCUUUCUCUCUCAAAAUUAAAUAGUGGGCAUUAUACGCGGAUAUUAUACCCCCCUAAUUAGCGAAGCUCUGCCUCGUUAUAAGUAUCAUAACCCCUGGAUACGUAUUAGAUACUCUGCCCGAUUGAUCUAGGGUUCCGUAACGGCUGUCGUGGUUCUGCCCGACGUAGUCGUUGGAAUGCCGUCUCGGGGAGGGUAUUACUAAUGUUAAAAUGGGUUAUUAUACUAACACGUGUGCAUUGUUUAUUUAAUUAGACUAUAACCAGGGAAUCACAAAGGAAAGCCCUAUAAUAGCAAUGUAACUUAGUGUGAAGCCAAUAAAAGCCAGCUGGAGAGCACUGAAGGCUUGGAAAAGUGGCUAUAAAGUUACCUAAAAUAAAAUAGCUGUUUUUAUUAAUAAAAAUAGGAUUUAUUCCUAUGAAAGCGUGUAUACUGAAAACUUGGGUUUUACCCAUGUGUUUAAUAUUAUGAAAAUGUGGUGGUUUUACUCUGAUAAAAAUAUUUCCUAACUACGGUCCUGAUGAAAAUUUCCGCUGCCAAAUUAGACAAUACACGAUACCACCGAAACUGGCUCACGGCCGCCCGUUCCUGAGGGGUCGGGGGUUGUGACAGAAGGUGGUAUCAGAGCUAUGCCACUGGUUCAAGCCAAAGAAGUGUUCUGCUGACACUUAAGUUUUAAAUUCUGUGUUAGGAAAUUAAUAUAACAAUUUAUGUGUUAUUCUGUAGUAUGAGUAACCAAUAUAACUAGACGUACCCAUAGGCUACCUCGGCAGAUGUGUUAUACUACACUCUUAUACAAUUAAUAACUUAAGGUAUCUCCUUGAGUAGGAUCUCUUCUUAAAUAAAUGAAUGUACCGUAAUAUAUAUAUAUGUGUGUGUGUGUAUACACUACUAUGUGUAUAUCAACCUUACUAAGAAAUAUUAAUACACGUUCAUUUUGUAAAAAUACUCAUAGAUCAUGAGUAUAAAUUUUAGAUAUUAAAUCUAAAAUCAUAAUUUAUGGUAAACUUACAUAAGAAAUCGAAUAACAUUAUGUAUCCACCUUAAAUAAAUAAAAGUAUUUUAUUGUAGUUGAUUCAUAGACUUCAUGAUCUAUACCAUGAUCUAUCCUUAUGAAUGGUGGUACAGAUUAUGGUAAAUUCCUGAAUUGACCUUAAAUCCAGAAGUCGUGUUAAUAUACAAUAUUAAUUGUAUGUAAAAUAAUAUACACGUUGUAGUAUAGUAUACUUCUAAUAAACAUACGUUAUAAUACACUAUAAAAAAAAAAUAAUAAUAUGGGUCUGAUGGUUUGUACAAUCGGUAUAAAAGAGAGUUAAUAGUUAAUGUUUUUUUUUUGAAGUAAAAAUAAGGGAACCUCAUUUCAACCAAAUCCCUCGGGAUACUCAGCAGAUACUGAGAAGAAAAUUUUUAUUCGUAAGGCACAGUCUGAGAAACUAUUUACCACAAAAAAAAAAAAAAAAAAAAAAGAGAAGUAGGAUUACUAGAAGAAAAAAAAAAGUCAAGAGAAAAUAAAGAAGUCACAACCAAAGGAAGUAAUAAUUCAUAAGGGAACAAAUGCACAAACUCAGGAAACAGGCAAUAACCUACAAUGGGAAGAUAAAUGGGUAAAUCUCCAUAUGUUAGCCACUACAGAAGUAAAUAUUAACUUAUAUUAAAUAGUUGAACCGCAAAACCAGUACCAGCACCCAUGCUACCUAUGAGCCAGAAAUUUUAAAAGAAAUUUUGCCCAUUAAAUAAACAA